This is a long non-coding RNA of Humulus lupulus (European hop), 5467 nucleotides long. RefSeq lists it as uncharacterized. The transcript is spliced from 2 exons. The record is from RefSeq and is a predicted model, not a curated record. Lineage: Eukaryota; Viridiplantae; Streptophyta; Magnoliopsida; Rosales; Cannabaceae.
AAGAAUACCACAAAAAAUAUAUUUUUUUUCUCAUCUUGGUGCUCUGCUAGGGUUUUCCUCUCUUAGCUUUGCCCCUAUCAAAGGGUUUGAAUCUGGUCUGAGUGACCUGGUUGGUGGAGUUCGUUGAUUGUUUCUCUGGCGUUCUUUGGCUUUGGUGUUCCGUGGUUUGCAAGGUGGGAGCUCUGUUUCUUCUUCUCCAACGACGACUGCAUUUUCUUGAAGAUUGGGGAUCGAUUUGCUUCCCUUAUUCUCCAGGUGCCUCAAAGGGCUUUCUUGUCUGAACUCGACUGCGUCUCCAAGGUUUGGGUGUUCUCUAUUUUAGGGUGUUCUUCUGGGUGGUUUGGCUCUGUUGGAUUUCUCUGUGUUGCAGACUCGUUGGUGGUAGGGACAGUCUGUUCUUGGGUGAUUUCAAGGAAAUUGGGCCCAUUUUUCUGGGUUCGUUUCGGUUCUCAAACUCUUCUUUGACCGAUUCGUUUUUUUGUUUCUUGGGCUAUCUAUGGCGAAUUCAAGCCUUUCUUUGAAAGAAAUUGAAGAAAGGUGUGUGAAACUCCAUCUGGAUGAUGAAUAACAAGGAGGAUUAUACUAUGAAACAGUUUGAACCCUUGGGAUUUCCAAGUGAUGCAGCAUAUGAUGGUUGCUUGGUGGAAGCUAGGGAACAGUCUGUACAUUAAAGAGUUGGAAAGCAAUCUGUAUAUCUUUCAAUUCUAUCAUGAAGUAUAUAUUAAGUUGGUGAUAGAGGGUAGCCCUUGGACUUGCAACAAAGCACAGUUGAUCUUUGAAAGGCUUAAACCAGGGGACAAUCUGAGAGUUGUGAAGCUCCAUCGUUUGGACAUAUGGGUUCAGCUACUUGGGCUACAUCCUGGGUUCAUGGUUGAACGGGUUGUGAGAGAUAUUGGCAAUCAUGUGGGGAAGUUCCUUGAGUCAGACCCAAAUAACUUCAAUAGGGUUUGAAGAGACUAUCUCAGAAUCUGGGUUUCCUUGGACAUUGAUAUUCCUUUGAAGCGCAAGAUGAAGAUUAGUCAUUCUAAUGGAGAUUGGUUUUGGGUGAGUUUCAAGUAUGAAAGGAUACAAACCUUCUGCUUUAUCUGUGGUAUCAUCGUUCACUCUGAGAAAUUCUGUCCUAAACCGUUUGAUAUUCCACUCGACUUAAUUGAGAAGCCGUAUGGUUUGUGGAUGAGGGCAGUUUCGAGAAGGCAACAACUUUUGAUUGGGGCUAAGUGGAUGAGACAAGGCGGCAGUGAUGACACUCCAUCGGCAGAUUCCAUUGAACAUAAACAACAGGAGGGCAGGACUACUACCUCAUUUAACCAGGAGUUGGAGGGAGUUGGUCAACAAUCUCAAGGGGCAGAUGGGGCAGAGCUGGUGGUUUAUGAGACCAAAAGGCGACGAAUUAGUGGGGAAUAUGAGACGAAGUUUAACAUAGACAUGGAUCUAGUUGCAAAUGGCAUCAAGGAGAUUGGCUCGUCACAUCUGACUAAGGCGGGUUCUGUUGCACAGACCCGCCAAGGAUGAUGAGUUUCAUUAGUUGGAAUUGCCAGGGGCUUGGGAACAGUCGGAAUGUUCAAUUCCUUAAAGAAAUUGUUUCUCAAAAGAAGCCCAAGUUUAUUUUCCUUUGUGAGAAUUAUUGCUAUCAAGACAAGUUCGAGAGGAUUCAGUACUCUUUGGGUUAUGAGGGGUUGUUUGUUGUCAAUCUCGAAGGGCGUAGAGGUGGGUUGGCAGGGCUUUGGCACCAUCAAGAUGACGGUUCUGUCAUUGGAAAUUCUACUAACCACAUUGACGUGAGUAUCAAAGUUGAUGGGAUGGCUCCUUGGUGACUCACUGGUUUCAAUGGUGAGCCGAAUAGAUCAACUUGUCGAAGAUCUUGGAAUUUGCUUCGUACUCUUUAUGAUAAAUCCCAGCUACCUUGGUGUAUUAUUGGAGACUUUAAUAACGUGUUGAAUCAAAGUGACAAACAAGGGGGGCGACCUUAUCCUGAUUGGUUGAUUGAGGGCUUCCAACAAGUUCUUAUGGAUUGCAAUCUUGUUAAUUUGGAGCUUCUAGGCUAUCCUUUCACUUGGGAAAGAGGGCGUGGAACCCUGGAUUGGAUUGAAGUUAGACUCGAUCGGGCUCUUGUCUCCCAAAGCUAGUUGUCUUUAUUCUCGGAUGCCCAACUAUACAACAUGGAGAUUUCUACUUCCGACCACUUUCCUCUCUUCCUUAAUCCAGUUCCCAGCACUAUUAUUCAUGUUUCCAAGCUCUUUUGCUUUGAAAAUGCUUGGAUGAGAGAGCCAUUAUGCUCUCAAAUUGUUGGCAAUAGUUAGAAGUCGUGUGCUGCUCUGUCUUGGGAGAAAAAACAUGAUCACUGCAGCCAAGCUCUCUCUAUGUGGCAGGGAAUCACAGGAUACUUCACUCACCGACUGAAGAAGUGUAACAUUGAGAUUCAGAAAUGGAAGAGCAGUAACGAGGAAGGGUCUCACGCUCGCUACAAAGCUGCCGAGGAAAAUCUUGUUGAGAUUUUAAGUCAAAAAGAGAUCUAUUGGCAUCAAAUGUCCAAACAGUUAUGGCCUAAAGCGAGAGAUUUGAAUAGCAAGUAUUUUCAUGCCACUACAUCAGUUAGGAAAAGGAACAAUAUGACUCAUAAGCUGAAGAAGGAAGAUGGCAGCUGGGAUGACUGGAAUCAUGGCUUGGCUGAGCACAUAUUUGAUUACUAUUUUCAUCUUUUUCAGGCAGAUUGUACUGAUUGGCAAGCAGUUGUGGACCUGGUUCCCUUGAUUAUUAAUGAUGAUUAAAAUGACAGCCUCCUUCGGCCUAUCACUUUAGAGGAGCUCAAAGUGGCUGCUUUCCAAAUGAACCCCGACCAGGCACCAAGACCAGAUGGUCUAACUCUAGCAUUUUUUUUUUAAAAUUUGGAAUGUUGUGUGCACUGAUGUUCUGAAAUUUGCCCAGGAUUUUUUUGCUUCAGGUGAGCUUCCAUAUCAUUUCAAUGAAACUCACUUGGCUCUCAUCCCUAAGAAGAAAGGCCCUACUUCCCUUGGUGUUCUUCAACCUAUUUUCCUGUGCAAUGUUAUUUACAAAAUUUUGUCUAAAACUUUGGUUAAAUGUCUGAAAGAGGGCGUGGGUCGUUGUAUCUCGGACACGCAGAGUGCUUUCUUUCCUGGUCGUUUGAUUUCUGACAACAUUAUGGUCUCCUUUGAGCUUCUUCACUAUCUUAAAAGGAAGUCUAGAGGUAAAAAGGGGUAUAUGGCGCUGCAACUUGAUUUAAGCAAAGCUUAUGACAGGGUUAAUUGGCAGUAUUUAGAGGCUUUGUUAUCUAAAAUGGGUUCUCAUAGUAGAUGGGUUCAUCUCCUCAUUGCUUGUUUUAACUCAGUUUCUUAUACUGUUGCUGUCAGUGGCAAGUUUAUAGGUCCUUUGUUGCCUACUAGGGGAAUUCAUCAGGGAGAUCCACUUUCUCCUUACCCUUUUCUGAUUUGUACUAAAGGUUUUUCCUCUCUUGAGAAACUUUGAGAGUAAGGGUUGGAAUCAUGGUUGUAAAGUUGCUUGAAGUACCCCAGCUGUGUCUCACAUGCUUUUUGCGGAUGAUAGUUACAUUUAUUGUAAAGCUGAUUUAGGAAGCGGAGAAUUUUAAAAGGCGGCUGCACUCGUUUGACAAAGCUUUGGGUCAGAAGGAGCUGGGAUUGCCUGAAGCUACUGCUGACUCUACUUAUUUGGGUCUUCCUAGCCUCAUUGGGAGGAACAAAACUGCUAUUUUGGGGUUCCUCAAAGAUAAAGUUAGGCAAAGAGUGCAAAUCUGGGAUGGGAAACUCCUCUCUAGGGCUGGGAAGGAUGUUCUUAUCAAAUCCAUUGCUCAGUCUCUCCCCACUUAUGCAAUGAGUGUCUUCCUCCUUCCUCUGAGUAUUUGUGAGGAUUUGGAGAGACUUAUGUGUAACUUUUGGUGGAAAUCUUCUAACAACCAUGGUAGAGGUAUUUCUUGGAUGCAUUGGGACAAGUUGUGCGUCCAUAAGCAUGGAGGUGAAAUGGGUUUUCUCCAUCUUCGGGAAUUCAACUUAGCCAUGCUUAGGAAGCAAGGUUUGAGUUUACUUAAUAGAGAAGAUUCUUUGGUUGCCAAGAUCUACAAAGCUCAUUACUAUCCUCAUAGUAAUUUUCUUGAUGCUCAUUUGGGCUGCAACCCAAGCUUUGUUUGGCAAAGUAUUUGGGAGUCUAGGAGUUUGAUUACCAGUGGCGCUCGAAGACAUUUUUGAUCGAGGAAUCACACUCUCAUUCUUGGUUAUCCUUGGCUGCUGGAUGAAGAUCACCCUUUUGUCAUCUCUAAGCAUCCGAAUUUACAGAAUAAGAGAGUUUUCUAGGUAAAGAGAACUGAUUCGUGAGUGGGAUGAGGAUGUGUUGGCUGACUUGUUCGAGGAUCAUGAUAGAACUUUGAUCAAGUCUAUUCCUAAUUGCCGGUCCUCUUCGAAUGACAACUGGUAUUGGGGGCAUGAAUUUUGGGUUGGUACUCAGUUAGUAGUGCUUAUCGGCUUCUCCAAAAGCUUCAUGGGCGCUGGGUGUCUGACAAUAAUUCGGGGUUUUGGAGGACGCUUUGGAACCUGAAAAUUCCACCAAAGGUGAAAAAAAAUUUGUGGCGGGCCAUAGCUGGUUGCCUCCCCACCAACUUGAACUUUAAGCUGCGUUUUGUUGAGGCGAGUCCCAUCUGUCCUUUGUGUUUGAAAGAUCCUGAAUCUACUUUCCAAGCUCUCUGUCUUUGUCCUUGUAGUAGGGAUUGUUGGUCUUUUUUUAGUAUUAGUUUGGAUGGAGUUGAUUGGCAGGACUUUGGCAACUGGAUUGAGUUUAUUUUUUCUCCAGGUAUUAGCAAGCGGACUCAUUUAAUUUGCAUGAUCAGUUGGUCCAAUUGGAAUGCCCGAAACAAUUUUGUGUGGAAUGAAUCUUGGCUGCCUGCCCACACUAUUGUCACAUUUGCUUUGACAUACUUUGAUCAUUGGAGUAGUGCUCAGCAUAUUCAUACUCAGAAGUGGAGUUAGCUUCUGCCCAAGGUGAUGGGAAGCAUGAGCAAUGGACUAAACCUGAUGUCAAUUGGAUCAAAGUGAACGUAGAGGCUGCCAUAUUCCAUCCUAAAUCUGCCUUUGGUGUAGGCUGGAUUGCUAGGAAUCACCAUGGCGAGAUCAUUGAGGCUUGGACAAAGCUUUGGCGCCAUUGGAGUUAAGGAGGUCCUUAGCUGGGUUAAUAGAAACCAGCUGCAUAAUGUCUGCAUUGAAAUAGAUUGCCAAGUAGUAGUCCACGCUAUUCAUAGUUCCAUGGCUUUACUGUCUCCGUUUGGCUCUCUCACUAAGGAUUGUUCAAUUUUACUUUCUCAUUGUAACUAUGUAAAUGUUCAUUUUGUGAAACGUUCUGUCAACAAGGUUGCUCAUUUUCUUACUAAGAGCUCUUGUGUUAAUCCAGGGCGUGUGUAUAGUGGAGUGCAAGUUCCUCAUAAUUUGUUCAUUCUUGUUCAGGUUGA